Hemibagrus wyckioides is the source of this 1184-nucleotide long non-coding RNA. RefSeq lists it as uncharacterized. The record is from RefSeq and is a predicted model, not a curated record. The transcript has 3 exons. NCBI's taxonomy places the organism in Eukaryota, Metazoa, Chordata, Actinopteri, Siluriformes, Bagridae.
CACUCUCUCACUGCUCUCGCUGCUCUCGCGUUUCACUGUUUUAUCUCCAAGUGAAAGGAGAUGCGUGGAGCUGUUGGAAAGCGAGUGAACACACUGAGUGAGGAGAACAAGGAAUAUUAAAUGCCCCACAGUCGCUGCUUUGACCUCUUUACAGCAUACAGCAGAUGCCUGAGGGGCAGCUCGAGCUCUCUGCCCCGGCUCUCCAGAGAUGGGGCACGACAGCACAAAUGAGUUUGACAGACAGCCGUGCUGAAGAAUUGGGUCACGGAGAAGAUAUGCGAAAAAAGGGUUGUUGGUGUUAGACGGGCUGAAACUGCUGAUCACCUGGAAUUUUCAGACACAACAGUCUGUAGAGUUCACAAAGAAUGGUGUGAAAAACAAAAACCGAAAGAAAAAAACACACCCAACUGUGAGCAGAAACCUCAAUGAUGAGAGAGUUUGGAGGAGAAUGACCAGAAAAGAAUGGUUUGCGCUGAGAGGAAGACUCCACUCUUUACAAACGUGAUAAGCAUAAAGCAUUUCACAGAGCUGGAUGGACUACAACAGCAAAAAAAAAACACACUGGGUUCCAGGUCCGGACCAGUUUCUGAAAUACUCAAAGCAGCUCAUCUGUCGCUAACAUGUCACUGAGAACAUAUACUAUAUCCCUGAAUAUAUAAAAGACCACUGCCCAAUCUCCAGAUUUGAACCCUAUUGAAAACCUCUGGAAUGUCAUCAAGAAGAAGAUGGAUGGUCACAAACCAUCAAGCAAAGCUGAGCUGUUUGCUUUUUUGCAAAAAAGAGUGGUAUAAUGUUCCCCAACAGCAAUGUGAGAAACUGGUGGAGAGCAUGGAGCCAAAAUGCAUGCAAAUCAGGGUUAUUUCACCAAAUACUGUUAUUUAGCCAAAGCAUUAACACAAUUUGUUUACAAAUUAUUUGCAUUUUGUUUUAUUUGAGUUAUUAAAGCUCUGCAAAUACUGCAUGAUCUUGGGUUAUUUUGAUGUGUUGUCAUUUCCUUUAAAUAUACACUCUAAAUAACAAUAGUUAUAUUUGGAAUUUAGGAGAAAUAUUGUCAGCAGUUCACAAAAAAUGAAACAAAACUUUGCAGUGGUCUCUUAUGUUUUUCCAGACCUGAAUGUAUGUAUAUAUAUUCAAAUGUUUGAGGUGAAAAUAAACUGAAUCUCUUGACCUAUAUUUGAAUGAAU